UGGUGAUCAUAGCGGAAGGGAAACACCCGUUCCCAUUUCGAACACGGCCGUUAAGCCUUCCAGCGCCGAUGGUACUGCUCCGGCAGCGGAGUGGGAGAGUAGGUCGUCA
This 109-nucleotide ribosomal RNA is filed under the name candidate division TA06 bacterium ADurb.Bin417. The record is from RNAcentral.